This 253-nucleotide ribosomal RNA is filed under the name uncultured bacterium. RNAcentral's name for it is "partial 16S ribosomal RNA". It matches the Rfam family "Bacterial small subunit ribosomal RNA", at positions 524 to 776 of the family's 1533-position model. The record is from RNAcentral.
UACGGAGGGUGCGAGCGUUGUCCGGAAUCACUGGGCGUAAAGGGCGCGUAGGCGGCCUGAUAAGUAGGGGGUGAAAUCCUGCGGCUUAACCGCAGGGCUGCCUUCUAAACUGUCAGGCUGGAGCACAGUAGAGGCAGGUGGAAUCCCCGGUGUAGCGGUGGAAUGCGUAGAGAUCGGGAAGAACAUCAGUGGCGAAGGCGGCCUGCUGGGCUGUUGCUGACGCUGAGGCGCGACAGCGUGGGGAGCAAACAGG